AGCAGCCGCCGCGGUAAUACGUAGGUGGCGAGCGUUGUCCGGAAUCAUUGGGCGUAAAGGGAGCGCAGGCGGGCAUGUAAGUCUUUCUUAAAAGUUCGGGGCUCAACCCCGUGAUGGGAAAAGAAACUAUAUGUCUUGAGUACAGGAGAGGAAAGCGGAAUUCCCAGUGUAGCGGUGAAAUGCGUAGAUAUUGGGAGGAACACCAGUGGCGAAGGCGGCUUUCUGGACUGCAACUGACACUGAGAGACGAAAUCUAGGGGAGCAAAUGGGAUUAGAUACCCCCGUAGUCCCUGUCUCUUAUAC
RNAcentral lists this ribosomal RNA (303 nucleotides) under uncultured bacterium. Its description in RNAcentral is "partial 16S ribosomal RNA". It matches the Rfam family "Bacterial small subunit ribosomal RNA", at positions 507 to 807 of the family's 1533-position model. The record is from RNAcentral.